Molecule: long non-coding RNA, 562 nt
Organism: Brienomyrus brachyistius
Lineage: Eukaryota; Metazoa; Chordata; Actinopteri; Osteoglossiformes; Mormyridae
Exons: 3
Source: RefSeq, a predicted model, not a curated record
CCAUAGGCAACGGCCCAACACUCAGUCCUGACAACCACAAUAAAAACGACGACAGACACAGAUUAAUCUGCUCCGCCAGAAGAAUUUGGAAAUUACAGGAUAAGCCCUUAUUGGCCCUCACCCCUUAGUGCUGGCACGGUGACACUGGCAUUCUGCCUCUGACACUCCCCCCGGUGAAGGCUGUUGUAAGUGACGCCGCUGGAGGUGAUGGGAGGCCGGGGUCCGCUGUCCGUCCGGCUCCACGAUCCAGCAGGCCAGGUCGGCGUUGACCUCGGAGAAGACGAAGGCCGUGUCGUACUUGACACCCACCUCGCCCUCCUUUAUGGCUCUCACUGGAGAGGGACCGCAGCAGAACACACCUGGGUCAGGGGUACAGGAGGACAUCCAGUGGAGGGGGGGUACAAAGGAAGGGAAAAUAAAAACAUUGCAGAUCACCAUUUUGUUCAUUUGAAAUCUAAGUAAAUGUCAUAGAAUAGAAUAGAAUAGAAUAGAAUAGAAUAGAAUAGAAUAGAAUAUCUUCGUUGUCAUUGUACAAUGAAACUCUGUAAUCUAGUGCUGCUUA